This 167-nucleotide unclassified non-coding RNA is filed under the name uncultured fungus. RNAcentral's name for it is "sequence contains ITS1". Lineage: Eukaryota; Fungi. The record is from RNAcentral.
CAGAGUUGCAAAACUCCCUAAACCAUCGCGAACGUUACCCAAACCGUUGCUUCGGCGGGCGGGGGCCCCAGCGGCCCCCCCUCCAGGCCCCUCCGGGGGCGCCCGCCGGAGGUACCCAACUCUUGACAAUCUAUGGCCUCUCUGAGUCUUCUGUACUGAAUAAGUCA